This 272-nucleotide unclassified non-coding RNA is filed under the name uncultured bacterium. Its description in RNAcentral is "partial may contain 16S ribosomal RNA, 16S-23S ribosomal RNA intergenic spacer, and 23S ribosomal RNA". The record is from RNAcentral.
GCGGAAGCUGCGGCUGGAUCACCUCCUUUCUAGGGAAUACAGGAGCUCUUACUCCUGUAGGCGCCGAGCCCGUGAUGGCAGAACGUUGCCGUCCGAUGACUCGACUCGCCUGGAAAUCACGUCGACCUCGAUCGAAGCACGCUGUUGAGUUUUGAGAGACCGUCCUCCGGGGCGGCCGUCUCUAUUGCAGGGCGGGCGCCGGCUCGCGCGCACCUUGAAAACUCCAUAGCGGCAUAUACGUGUUCUUUCCGAUCAAGAGAAUAAGAGCACAC